GCACUGCCGGGGAGUCCCAUACUAGGACGAAACGGCCGUCCAGUGC
Non-coding RNA from Schistosoma curassoni, 46 nucleotides. The record is from Rfam. NCBI's taxonomy places the organism in Eukaryota, Metazoa, Platyhelminthes, Trematoda, Strigeidida, Schistosomatidae.